CGCUCAACGGAUAAAAGGUACGCCGGGGAUAACAGGCUUAUCCUGCCCAAGAGUUCACAUCGACGGCAGGGUUUGGCACCUCGAUGUCGGCUCAUCGCAUCCUGGGGCUGAAGAAGGUCCCAAGGGUCCGGCUGUUCGCCGGUUAAAGCGGUACGUGAGCUGGGUUUAGAACGUCGUGAGAGAGUUCGGUCCCUAUCUAGUGUGGGCGCAGCAGGAUUGAGGGAAUCUGUCCUUAGUACGAGAGGACCGGGAUGGAUCCACCUCUAGUGUACGAGUUAUGGCGCCAGCCGUAACGCUCGGUAGCUAAGUGGAGCAUGGAUAAACGCUGAAUGCAUCUAAGCGUGAAGCCAGACCCGAGAUUAAUCCUGACCGCGAGACUCGUGGUAGACCACCACGUUAAUAGGCUGGAAAUGUAAGUGCAGUAAUGUGCUCAGUUGACCAGUACUAAUCAGUCCCUUGGCUUGACCGUAAAA
This 473-nucleotide ribosomal RNA is filed under the name Acidobacteriota bacterium. RNAcentral's name for it is "bacterial LSU rRNA". It matches the Rfam family "Bacterial large subunit ribosomal RNA", at positions 2446 to 2925 of the family's 2925-position model. The record is from RNAcentral. Lineage: Bacteria; Pseudomonadati; Acidobacteriota.